Molecule: ribosomal RNA, 253 nt
Filed under: uncultured bacterium
Lineage: Bacteria
Description: partial 16S ribosomal RNA
Rfam family: Bacterial small subunit ribosomal RNA
Source: RNAcentral
UACAGAGGUGGCAAGCGUUGUUCGGAAUUACUGGGCGUAAAGGGCGCGUAGGCGGUCUUGUAAGUCGUGUGUGAAAUCCCUCGGCUUAACUGAGGAACUGCACGGGAUACUGCGAGACUUGAGAUCGGGAGAGGGAAGCGGAAUUCCGGGUGUAGCGGUGAAAUGCGUAGAUAUCCGGAGGAACACCGGUGGCGAAGGCGGCUUCCUGGACCGACACUGACGCUGAGGCGCGAAAGCUAGGGGAGCAAACGGG